Long non-coding RNA from Hypanus sabinus (Atlantic stingray), 1850 nucleotides. RefSeq lists it as uncharacterized. The transcript has 5 exons. The record is from RefSeq and is a predicted model, not a curated record. Lineage: Eukaryota; Metazoa; Chordata; Chondrichthyes; Myliobatiformes; Dasyatidae.
GACUCGGCAUCGGCUCGUCCCCCCCGGCUCUUUUCACGACGCUUUACGGUCCUUCGGAGAAAGAGAAAAAAAACAGAGGGAGCGUUUACAAAACACAACACGCCAACAAUGUGUUUUACGUUUUUCCCGACCCCCUUGUUGAAGUUCCGAGAUAAUUAAUGCGGUGAGAGAGACCAGAAGCACGGCGCAGUUUCGAAAGGGAUCCAAAGUUUUGCCAACGAAUCUAUCUCCAAGCAGCAAGAAACGGAGAGUCCUUCACUUCUGAAAUGUGACUUUCCCCCCAAAAUUUCCAGAUAAUGAUAAAAAAACAAUACCGAGCUUUUAAAUCCCUCGAAAAUUCCCUCUAAUUUAUAACCACAACGAGGACAUGGGACGCGUCGGGAGAGUCGGACUGUCGUAGCAGGAAACACAACCUGUGGACGGACUGACGUGUUCCGCUUGUUGGAAUGACAUUUUUCUAUAAAGAGAGUCCCUGAAGUGCGGCCGCAGAAACGUACGCCACCUAUCUUCAUGUAAACCGAAGAGUUAGAAGGGAAAAUCCUCAGAGGAGAUUAUUGCAUUGGACAAUAUGAAGGAUCUAACAAUAUUAGCAAAGAUAGCCAAUCUCUUGGAGUGCAACAACAUCAGACAAACUUUCAGCCCUAGUCCCUGUGGUGAAUGACUGGAACAUCUACAGGAGAAAUACUUUGGAGUCCAGAGGAAACCUGAAUGGCUCCAAAAUGGCUGUAGUUCCCUUUGAAGCCAAAGGUGGUCUUCGCCUGGCACUAGUAAGAGUUCUGUUCACCUCCUGCAGUUUCUAUGAUGUUAUCUUACAUAUCCCACUGUGUGCUACAUUAUCAUUUUAUAACAGUUGUGUUAAGGGAGCCUUCUGCUAUUUUAGAGUGCAGCCCUGUGAUUCCUUCAAGCCUUAGAGAAGCACACGGCAUUAGUCAGAUAAUUAGAAUGUUAGGGGCUGAGGAACUGUACACUGUAACUGAGAGAGAUAUUAUGACAUAUUCUUAACAAAUCCUUUUCAAAGUAAAUCUGGUCUCUCUAUCUCAUCACUUCAUCAUCCUUAUGAUGUAUUAAAAGAACGAGAGCAUCAACCAGGAACUAACAUCAGAGCUUGGACAAUUAUAUUUAAACAUUGUAACGUAUUUGUCAGAAUGUAUUGCUAUAAUUGGUUCUGUAAGCAUACCGUGCUUAAAAUUGGUUAUAAAAAGCAUAAUGAUUUGUAACUCUUCACACUCUAAAGUAUAAUGAAUAAAUUCAAGCUUUACUAUUAAUUUAUUGUUUUUGAUCAAAUAGCAUAACUUUAUCAUUCUGUUGGUAUUGUUCACUCACGUACUUAAAAUAAAGAAGUAAGUAACAGCUGGUUUGGUAAUCAUUGUGUACAAAACUGGCAGCUUUGCAAAUUAAUCUAGGGGGAGUCACUAUCACCCAGCAGCCACUUAAAUUGAUCAGAACGCAAAAAAAAAUUCUAGAGGAGCCCUUUGUGAUGUUACUCUGUGCAUUAAAGCACAUCUUCAAAAACCAGGAUUAAUAUAAAAUUACUUCCAUCUCAACUGCCAUUUUUGAUCCUUCCCUGCCCCAAAUUAAUCCCUGGUUACAUCAUUAAUGCCAUGCUUGUAACAGAGUUUUCCUCUAAUUUAGUUCUUUCACUAGUCUGCGGUGAAAUGUCAAAAUACAUUUUAUUUGAAGUUAUGUACAGUAUUUCCAUUGGGUGUGGUAAAUAUAAAAUUUAGGUCAGUGAGGAACUUGCACAGGGCUAUUAGGAGUUAAAUUAUGAUAGCUUGCAUUUUUGUAGAACUUGCCAAAUGAUUAUUUAAAUGAUGAGAUUUCACUGAAAGUUACAAAUCUAAUUAUAAUAU